UUUGGAUCCUGUCUCAAAUUAAGCGCUGGAGCAAGGCUUCCUUUAUGAAAUUCGAAGGGUUCCCCGGAGUUCGGUCUGGGGGGGAGUGGCGAGUGGGUGACUAAUACUUCGCAAGCGUGCCCGGCCGGGGGGGAUAAUUUAGGAAAGGUGACGCUAUUACCGAAUACAAUCUAAGGAUAAAAGCGGGGGACCGAAGGGCCUCGCGCGAUGGGGGCGGCCGAUGUCAAAUUAGGUAGUUGGUGAGGAAAGGGCUCCCCAAGCCAACAAUUUGUAGCUGGUCUGAAAGGAGGACAAACCCCACUGAACCUGACAGACGGCCCAAACUCCUACGGGAGGCAGCAGAGGGAAAUUUUGGACAAGGGACGCAAGUCUGAUCCAGCCUUUCCGCGUGCAGGAUGAAGGCCCUCGAGUUGUAAACGGCUUUUGUACGGAACGA
RNAcentral lists this ribosomal RNA (436 nucleotides) under uncultured bacterium. RNAcentral's name for it is "bacterial SSU rRNA". It matches the Rfam family "Bacterial small subunit ribosomal RNA", at positions 12 to 448 of the family's 1533-position model. The record is from RNAcentral.